This is a long non-coding RNA of Zingiber officinale, 699 nucleotides long. RefSeq lists it as uncharacterized. The transcript has 5 exons. Lineage: Eukaryota; Viridiplantae; Streptophyta; Magnoliopsida; Zingiberales; Zingiberaceae. The record is from RefSeq and is a predicted model, not a curated record.
CCUAAACCUAUCGCCGAACCCGAGCUUCCCUUCUUCCCCGUUCCCUUUCUCUGUUCUCUCCAUCUCUCGCGGAUGAAGCAAAUCCGAUGGACUUCCGGCGAUCGUCGACCUCGACCCAGUGGAGCAGUCGCCAGAUGGACUUCCGGCGAUCGUCGAUCUCGACCCAGGGGAGCAGUCGCCAGUACAGAUCCGGACAUGGGUGAUAUCCUCCAGCCCUAGCCGAGUCUGCCGAUCCUUUUCUUCCCCGAUCGACGCCACUGGAUCGACUCGGUGCCAACCCGAUCGUCGGCGAGGGCUUCUACCGAAGGUUCAAGAUAGGGGCUAGCUUCACCUGAGUCAUAUCCCUUGCAUAAUUGUGCCCUAGAGCUCCUCUGUCAGCUCCGAUCAGUCAUCGCGAAGGCAAAGGUGUGCCCUAGCCGUAAUCUUGAAGGGGAGAAAUCCAGCAGGGAGGUUGUGUUCUGGAGGUGAGCGAUAGGGAUCUUGGACCUUAUCUUCCUUGCUGCUGAUUAAGGUCACGAUUAAGUGAGGUGAAGUUCUGGAUUGUGAAGUGAACCCAGCAGAGAGGAUCAGUAGGCUGUGAGCUGUCCUGUUUCUGUGGAUUUAGAAUUGGGUGCUGUGGUGUUCUUGAUCCAACAUCAACAGGGGCUGUGAGCUUGAGGACUCUGAUUCGAGACGGGCGUCUCGACUUCGGAUUUGGAU